UCGGGAAUUUUGGGCAAUGGGGGCAACCCUGACCCAGCAACGCCGCGUGAGGGAUGAAGGCCUUCGGGUCGUAAACCUCUGUCGGGAGGGAAGAAAGGCGCACGGGAUAAUACCCCGUGUACUUGACGGUACCUCCAAAGGAAGCGCCGGCUAACUCCGUGCCAGCAGCCGCGGUAAUACGGAGGGCGCAAGCGUUGUUCGGAAUCACUGGGCGUAAAGCGCGUGUAGGCGGCCUGGCAAGUCGGUUGUGAAAUCCCGGGGCCCAACCCCGGAACUGCAACCGAAACUGCCUGGCUCGAGUCCCGGAGAGGGUGGCGGAAUUUCCGGUGUAGAGGUGAAAUUCGUAGAUAUCGGAAGGAACACCAGUGGCGAAGGCGGCCACCUGGACGGUGACUGACGCUGAGACGCGAAAGCGUGGGGAGCAAACAGGAUUAGAUACCCCCGUAGUCC
This 450-nucleotide ribosomal RNA is filed under the name uncultured prokaryote. RNAcentral's name for it is "bacterial SSU rRNA". It matches the Rfam family "Bacterial small subunit ribosomal RNA", at positions 355 to 796 of the family's 1533-position model. The record is from RNAcentral.